Molecule: ribosomal RNA, 497 nt
Filed under: uncultured bacterium
Lineage: Bacteria
Description: partial 16S ribosomal RNA
Rfam family: Bacterial small subunit ribosomal RNA
Source: RNAcentral
GAUGAACGCUGGCGGCGUGCCUAAUACAUGCAAGUCGAGCGAACAGACGAGGAGCUUGCUCCUCUGACGUUAGCGGCGGACGGGUGAGUAACACGUGGAUAACCUACCUAUAAGACUGGGAUAACUUCGGGAAACCGGAGCUAAUACCGGAUAAUAUAUUGAACCGCAUGGUUCAAUAGUGAAAGACGGUUUUGCUGUCACUUAUAGAUGGAUCCGCGCCGCAUUAGCUAGUUGGUAAGGUAACGGCUUACCAAGGCAACGAUUCGUAGCCGACCUGAGAGAGUGAUCGGCCACACUGGAACUGAGACACGGUCCAGACUCCUACGGGAGGCAGCAGUAGGGAAUCUUCCGCAAUGGGCGAAAGCCUGACGGAGCAACGCCGCGUGAGUGAUGAAGGUCUUCGGAUCGUAAAACUCUGUUAUUAGGGAAGAACAAAUGUGUAAGUAACUAUGCACGUCUUGACGGUACCUAAUCAGAAAGCCACGGCUAACUACGUG